AUCCUACGGGAGGCAGCAGUGAGGAAUAUUGGUCAAUGGACGAGAGUCUGAACCAGCCAAGUAGCGUGAAGGAUGACUGCCCUAUGGGUUGUAAACUUCUUUUAUAAGGGAAUAAAGUGAGGGACGUGUCCCUUUUUGUAUGUACCUUAUGAAUAAGGAUCGGCUAACUCCGUGCCAGCAGCCGCGGUAAUACGGAGGAUCCAAGCGUUAUCCGGAUUUAUUGGGUUUAAAGGGAGCGUAGGUUGACAUAUAAGUCAGCUGUGAAAGUUUACGGCUCAACCGUGAAAUUGCAGUUGAUACUGUAUGUCUUGAGUGUACAAGAGGUGGGCGGAAUUCGUGGUGUAGCGGUGAAAUGCUUAGAUAUCACGAAGAACUCCAAUUGCGAAGGCAGCUCACUGGGGUACAACUGACACUGAGGCUCGAAAAUGUGGGUAUCAAACAGGAUUAGAUACCCUGGUAGUCCACACAGUAAACGAUGAAUACUCGCUGUUUGCGAUAUACAGUAAGCGGCCAAGCGAAAGCAUUAAGUAUUCCACCUGGGGAGUACGCCGGCAACGGUGAAACUCAAAGGAAUUGACGGAAU
RNAcentral lists this ribosomal RNA (583 nucleotides) under uncultured bacterium. RNAcentral describes it as "bacterial SSU rRNA". It matches the Rfam family "Bacterial small subunit ribosomal RNA", at positions 335 to 919 of the family's 1533-position model. The record is from RNAcentral.